GGGCCCGGAAGGUCUUUGAUGUAAUCCUCAGCGUUGGAGGUGGGGCCCGGAAGGUCUUUGAUGUAAUCCUCAGCGUUGGAGGUGGGGCCGGAAGGUGUUUGAUGUAAUCCUCAGCGUUGGAGGUGGGGCCGGAAGGUGUUUGAUGUAAUCCUCAGCGUUGGAGGUGGGGCCCGGAAGGUGUUUGAUGUAAUCCUCAGCGUUGGAGGUGGGGCCCGGAAGGUCUUUGAUGUAAUCCUCAGCGUUGGAGGUGGGGCCCGGAAGGUGUUUGAUGUAAUCCUCAGCGUUGGAGGUGGGGCCGGAAGGUGUUUGAUGUAAUCCUCAGCGUUGGAGGUGGGGCCCGGAAGGUGUUUGAUGUAAUCCUCAGCGUUGGAGGUGGGGCCCGGAAGGUGUUUGAUGUAAUCCUCAGCGUUGGAGGUGGGGCCGGAAGGUGUUUGAUGUAAUCCUCAGUGUUGGAGGUGGGGCCGGAAGGUGUUUGAUGUAAUCCUCAGCGUUGGAGGUGGGGCCCGGAAGGUCUUUGAUGUAAUCCUCAGCGUUGGAGGUGGGGCCUGGAAGGUGUUUGGCUCCUGGCUGGGUGUUGUCUUUGUAAUGCUGGAAAAAUGACAUCUGCCAACUUUACACAGCAUUCGCUUGUUUUUGACCCACAGAAUAUAGCACAUUCAUUGUGCAAACUGUCGAUUCAACAAAACUAAAAAAAAAAAAAAGCAAGAAACUACUGAGGAGUUUAGCAACUGCUGUUUCUGUAAAGAAAUAGUCCUAAAGUGUCAGUUUCUUCAAGUCACGGAAAGAAAGAGCACAAUGAAGGACAAAGAUCGACCAGAGUGAAUUGCAUUUGCCUUGGUUGAAAGCAUCUGAAUCUGAAAAAAAUUAUGAACUCUACUAAAAUUUUGGCAAAUUUUGGUCAGUUUCAAUAGGCCUGCUUUCCUCAUUUAUUGAUUAAUUACUUCAUUUACCACAUAAAAGAUUGUUAAUUGUCAUCUCUGUAAUCUGCCUGCAGAUUAAAAAUUCUAUGUCUUAGA
Long non-coding RNA from Callithrix jacchus (white-tufted-ear marmoset), 1016 nucleotides. RefSeq lists it as uncharacterized. Lineage: Eukaryota; Metazoa; Chordata; Mammalia; Primates; Cebidae. The record is from RefSeq and is a predicted model, not a curated record.